AUGGCCUGGUCCCCUCUGCUCCUCAUGUUCCUCUCUCACUGCACAGGGUCCUGGGCCCAGUCUGUGCUGACUCAGCCACAGUCAGUCUCUGGGAACCUGGGCCAGAGGGUCACCAUCUCCUGCACUGGAAGCAGCUCCAACAUCGGGAAGAAAUAUGUGUACUGGUUUCAACAGCUCCCAGGAACAGCUCCCAAACUCCUGAUAUAUAAAAACAGCAAUCGACCCUCAGGGGUCCCUGAUCGAUUCUCUGGCUCCAAGUCUGGCAGCUCAGCCACCCUGACCAUCACUGGGCUCCAGCCUGAGGAUGAGGCUGAUUAUCACUGCUCAAGUUGGGAUGACAGUCUGGAGUGGGUGGGCGGUGGCACUAGAGGAACUGUCAUUUUACCUUGCACUCAGACUCCAGGCCGUGCUCCGCACAUGUUGAUCUACAACACAAAUACCCACCCUUCUGGAAUCCCAAAUCGCUUCUCAGGCUCCAUCUCUGGAAACAAAGCCGCCCUCACCAUCACUGGGGCUCAGACUGAGGAUGAGGCCGAGUAUCACUGUGUGCUGUACAUGGGUAAUGGCAUUUACACAGUGAUGUGA
Molecule: non-coding RNA, 585 nt
Organism: Talpa occidentalis (Iberian mole)
Lineage: Eukaryota; Metazoa; Chordata; Mammalia; Eulipotyphla; Talpidae
Source: the annotation of a RefSeq genome assembly